AGGGUGACGUAAGCGAUCUCCCUGUUGCCGUUGUGUUGUGCAGCGGCAAUGGACGUGGGUGGCGCAGUGGCGGCCGCCAAAGGGCCAGUGCCUUCGCCCGCGGUCGAAGCGGUUGCUCCGCCGCACGUCGAGAGGCUCAAUCCAGUGGUCGAACAGCAACUGCACCUUGAGUCGGUGAAGAUCCGCGCGCUUGCUCUCUACAAAGCUGUCUCUCACAUUCUCGAGGAUUUAGAUGCUUUCGCCCGUUCCAAUUCCACCAUCAAAUGGCGAGAUGCACUUGGACAAUUCUCAAUGGUGAGCAUGCAACUCUUCAACAUAGUGGAGGACAUUAAGAAUGUGUCUAAGGCAUUCGUGAUCUUCCCAAGAAAUAUAAAUGCUGAAAAUGCAACAGUGUUACCUGUAAUGCUGUCAUCAAAGUUGUUUCCAGAGAUGGAAGCUGAGGAUAUUGCAAAAAGAGAGCAAUUAUUAUAUGGAAUAUCUGGUCACCCUGUACACAUACAAAUUGAGAAACUGAAGGCUAGAAUUGACAUGAUUGGAGCAGCUUGUGAAGCUGCAGAGACGGUUAUAUCUGAUUGUCGUAAAACUUAUGGAUUGGGAUCACAUCCAGGAUCAACACUUGUUCCAACUUUGGAUAAGGUUCAAGCUGCAAAAAUUCAGGAGCAAGAAAAUUUACUAAGAGCAGCUGUGAAUUUGGGUGAAGGGUUAAGAAUUCCAUUUGAUCAGAGGCAACUCCCAACUUCUCUUCCUAGCCAUUUGGCAGAUGUGCUUUCAUUUGGUGAUGGUGCACAGAAUUUGGCUGAUAAUUCUGGUUCUUGUGAGAAAAAUACUCCUGCAUUUUCAUCUACUCGAGAAGUACUGCAGAUGCUACAGACACCUGGAGGACAGUUGAUUGGAAGAUCUGUUCCAUCGCCAUCCAAUGCUACUGCUUUUGAUAAUCCAUCAACACCUCCAAUGGCAUAUGCUAAUUCACCUAGAUCUGAUCCAAACAUUAUGAAUACCCCGUCACCACAGCAACAGGCACAACGGCAACAGCAACAGAGACAAAAGAUUAUGCAAUUAACACAUCAACAACAGCUUCUGCUGCAACAGCAAUUGCGGCAAUCUUCUAUUACAGGAGUUCUAGGCCAGCGCUCAAUAUCCCAGCUGCACGAUAUAACAGGCCAAACUCAGCAAAAGCUUCAACAGAUUGCUGGACAGCAUCAGAUGUCAUAUUCUCAUCCUAUGUUGCAGCAGCAAUUUCAGAAUGGACAAUUGCAAACAUCACACAUGUCUUAUAAUAUUUUACAAAAUCAAAUUAACCAAGGAGGUCAACAUAGGAACAACAUAAACCAGUUAGGAUCUAGCAGCAAUGCUUUGUUCAGUGCUGCUCAAGCUUCACCAAACUCUCAAAUGGUGAAUUAUCUUAGCAAGCAUAUGCUGUAUUUUUUAUUCCUUUUAUUUGGGUGGUUGAUCUAAACACAUAAUUAAUAUAAAGAUUUAAUGCAAGAAAAAGUACAUUUGUUAACAUACUAAUAGAUACCAGAACAACAAUACCACAAAAUACUAAAGAUAAAAAAGUGAAGCAAUAGAAUAAAACUUGAGAAUUCAACUAUAAAAGUUCAACCAAAGAAAGCUCCAAAAUCCUAGCAACAUUUACGUCUUAGAGCAUCUAAUAACUCAUCCUAGCACUUGCUUGGGGAUGAUCUGGAGGCAAAAACAAAUAAGGGUUCACUAGAAAAAGCUGGGUAGGAAUGCGAUAGUACGCAGCAAGAAGAUAAUUAAUUUUAUAAUAGGAUAUCACAAAUAACUCUAUGCAUGAAGUGUGUUAAGGCCACUUCUUCACAUUUUAUUAUCUUAGAUUAUGUUACUUGUGAAUGACACUAUGUAGACUAUUACACUGCUUACUCAAGCAUGUGCAUGAUUGCCUCACUAUUAGUUCGAAAAUGCACACUCAUCAGGACUAAUUGAGUGUGCUUCUGGCAUAAUGCUCAUAUAUCUGCCAACAAGCUAACACGAGGCCAAUAGUAAUCAUUACAAUAUUAUCGCAUGGUCGUAUAUUAUCUUCACAUAAUAGUAGCAUAACUCUUGCGUCUCUACGAACCAGGUAACAUAAGGUUCAUAGAAAUCAUUACAAUAAGUAUCAUGAUUACAUAAUGCUGAUAUUUCUCCACACAGAUUUAUUAUAUUCAUCUAUAAUUUAACUCCAAUAUCACUUAUGGUAAUAUUUCUCAUAGAGAUUACCUAAGCUAGGUAAGCAUGACAUGUAUAAAUGGAUCAUCUAAUAACUAUCAAGAGCAUAAUUUAAGGUCUAUGGAACGUUCAUAUAACCAAACAUUAUCACGCGCACACAAUCUAACACAAUGUGUAUGCGCAAAGAAUAUUUUUAGAAGCAAACAUAUUUUGAUUCAACACAAGCAUUUAUGAUUUAAAAAGGUGAAAUAGGGUUCCUCCUCAUUGAGUAGGGUAUUAAUGGUGAUUAUUCUGGCCACACUCAUGUUCAUCCCUUAAACUCCUCUCUUGAUGUGUCUUGUCUAUAAAAUGGUUGGGAACUCAUUCUAAAUUGGGUAGAUUGGUUAAACUCUCAUUCCUUAGGAUAGGGAUACACCAUUAGGCAUGUUUGAGAUCAUCACAACUGGGAAACACUCUUCAAUAGCUUCUGUUCAUAACCAUACAGCUAAUGUCUGGCUCAACAACACAAGAAAAAAGUUUCCCAAAAUCCCACCAAAACUCCCAAACAUCUUCUAUAUCCAUUUUCCUUGCGUCCGUAGAGGAUGUAUCACUCAUCUUGCCACCAAAACUUUCUCGAAGCACCCUUGGACUUUAUAAUUGAAAAGGGUUAACUCAACACAAACAAAUGUUGCCAUUGUUUGAGGGAUAAGACUUUCAGUACACAGCCAAAUUAGAAGUUUCAUGAAUGGAUGGAAGGGAGUAAAGAAGAGAACAAGAAAAUUCUCGCCCUUUUAUUUUGUCAUUCCCAAUGCAUAUAAGGUUAAACUGGUCUUUUCAAUUUGUAUCUACUCUUUCUCCCCUCUUCCAUCCACUUUUGGAAGGAACCAAAAGUGGGUAAAGAGAGCCAAACUAAUUCUUUCUUUUUCCUCACUUUUUAUAUUACACCUAAGUAGACAAGGGAAAUAAUUGUUUUCCCUCUAUUUGGGUUUCCUUCUCAAGUAGGCAUAACAUCAAGGAUGCAAGUUUCUAAUUGAUAAGAAUAAGAUGAUAACAAUGAGAGUUGAUCUGAUUAAUAGGAGAUGAAAGAGGAUCUUGAGAUCCUAUAUCACUGCUUGCAAGUGUCACAGUAGUUCCAAAGCCCUAUUUCUCAUGCACAAAACUGUAUCUUAAAUUGGCACUGCUGUGGAAAAGCCCUCUUCCUUGUUGCUGUGGAAACCUUUGGGCACUGCUUCUGCAUGGAGUUGAAACACAAGGAUGAAGAGGGAGGUAGAUUGGGGCGAUUUGGGUUUUCACUGGGGAUAUGGGAGAACAAGUGUGGGAGUGGGUUUAGUUCCCACUUAAUGGAUAUCUGGCCUACAGGUUUAAUGAAACUAUUGCAUGAUCUGAAUGGCCAGGUUUAGGUCAUAAAUGUAGUCUUUCUGUGAAGGGUAGAUUCUGUACAUUAACUCUUUUUGAAACCCUCAUCAGGGAGAAAAAUUUUGUACAGGAAUUGCCCAACCUUUAAAAUGCCUCGAUAUUCCUGCCAACUUUUUGCUUUAUUAGAUGCUUGAAUAUAGGAUGACUGCUAAUACAAAAUUUCAACAAUUCUAAGCUAUGUUACACGCAGUGAGCUAUGUUUUUGGUGAAGGUUAUCUUUUAAUUUCAAUUGAGCUCUUGCUGAUGAGAAUUCAACAAUUGCUGGAGUAAGAAUACAGGAGAAACACAAACAUUGGGGUUCUGACAUCAGAUCCAAUUGGUUCAAAAACCUCAGCCUGAAAAUUUGGGAUCUUCCAGGCUGGAUCAGAUUUCAAGCAUGUCAGCUUCGAUGCAAUCUCAAUCACGUUUGCCACGGAUGCAGUUUGGUCUAACUGGUGGGCACCUGCAAAGGAAUCAUCCAUCCCAAGUGUUUAAUGAUCAGAUGUUUGGGAUGAGUCCUUCAAAUCCU
Zingiber officinale is the source of this 4072-nucleotide RNA transcript. It is a transcript of the gene named mediator of RNA polymerase II transcription subunit 8-like, with no coding region annotated. The transcript is spliced from 12 exons. The record is from RefSeq and is a predicted model, not a curated record. Lineage: Eukaryota; Viridiplantae; Streptophyta; Magnoliopsida; Zingiberales; Zingiberaceae.